CACACUAUCAUUAACUGAAUCCAUAGGUUAAUGAGGCGAACCGGGGGAACUGAAACAUCUAAGUACCCCGAGGAAAAGAAAUCAACCGAGAUUCCCCCAGUAGCGGCGAGCGAACGGGGAGCAGCCCAGAGCCUGAAUCAGUGUGUGUGUUAGUGGAAGCGUCUGGAAAGGCGCGCGAUACAGGGUGACAGCCCCGUACACAAAAAUGCACAUAUUGUGAGCUCGAUGAGUAGGGCGGGACACGUGGUA
RNAcentral lists this ribosomal RNA (249 nucleotides) under Escherichia coli. RNAcentral's name for it is "partial 23S ribosomal RNA". It matches the Rfam family "Bacterial large subunit ribosomal RNA", at positions 144 to 431 of the family's 2925-position model. The record is from RNAcentral. Lineage: Bacteria; Pseudomonadati; Pseudomonadota; Gammaproteobacteria; Enterobacterales; Enterobacteriaceae.